RNAcentral lists this small RNA (125 nucleotides) under Marmota monax (woodchuck). The record is from RNAcentral. Lineage: Eukaryota; Metazoa; Chordata; Mammalia; Rodentia; Sciuridae.
GCCAGAUGCGGUGGCACACGCCUGUAAUCCCAGCGGCUCAGGAGGCUGAGGCAGGAGGAUAGCGAGUUCAAAGCCAGCCUCAGUAACUGUGAGGCGCUAAGCAACUCAGCGAGAUCCUGCCUUUA